This is a long non-coding RNA of Columba livia (rock pigeon), 3573 nucleotides long. RefSeq lists it as uncharacterized. The record is from RefSeq and is a predicted model, not a curated record. NCBI's taxonomy places the organism in Eukaryota, Metazoa, Chordata, Aves, Columbiformes, Columbidae. The transcript is spliced from 4 exons.
UUAUUGUAUUAGAAAAUAGUUUUCUUCACACUAAUAUGGAACUAUGCCUCUUUUUUUUUUUUGUUGGCAAUAUAUGCUAAUUUGAAAAAGACAAAAUUAGAAUUGAAUAUUAAAUUCAUAAAAAUAGUAUUCUCCAUCUUUCUUCCUAAACUAGCCUUGUACCGUAUUGUUUCUGAGCACAGAUCUUGGAUCCUCCAGGAAAAAGAGCAUCUGCUGUCACAAAGGUAUAAUAUAUCCAGUUGGUACCUUGGUUUCUAGAGUAAACACUGUGACCCACUAUAUGGAAUAUGAACAAUAUAAUUUACUUUACUAAAGACAAGAAGUGGGAAAGUUGCUAACUGACAGUAUUCAAUUUUGCAUUGUGGCAGUUGCACUUCCCCCCCUGAGAAUUGGUGUGGCAGUUACACAUCCCCCUCUGAGAACUGGAGCCUUCAGUGGGGCAGUUAAUGGCUCUUUUGUGGGACCCGGAGUCAGUUGACAGGAUUGUUAGCAGAGGAGUGGUCCAGAGAAGCUGAGAAGCUUCUGGAAUGCCCACAGCCAGAUCUGAUUAGACUAUAAAACGGGGUGCCUGCCGAGGAUCCCCUUUGUGAGGUUUUCUUGGAGCAGCGAGGCUGCUGAACCGGAGCCCUCCCCUUAGACUGGAACGCUGUCUAAGGAAACUUCCCAGAAUUGGGAGCGCCUCACCUCCUCGUUUGGUCCCAUCAUCCUCUUCACAUGACUACAAGUGGCCACAGUCCUACGGAAUUUCCUUCACACAGGCAGUUGAGGUCCAGCAGCAGAGCCAGCCCACGAUGAAAGGCAGGGAGUUGCCAAGUCCACUAAAUUUCCAGGCACAAAAUGCCAUGAGACAGAAGGAGCUCCUGGACAUGACAGUACCUGGGGAAAUUCCAACCCAACCCCAACCACCAGGGGCUCCUCUGAGAAGACUGCAGCUGACAGUUUCUCCCUCUGCUGCUGAGAAGAAUGGGUGACAACUUUUGUAAUCACAUGCAAUGAUGAAAGAAUUAGCACUUCACAGAGGAAUUCUUCAUUUGUCUUCUGGAGCCAAAUUGGUCCCUUGACUAUCUGAAUUGCACAGAGCAACCAGACCAUAACACUGAAGCAAACACAGCAGGUCCGAAUUGCAUAUUCUGUCCUGCACAUAAUGUGUUUAAAUGUACGUAAUGUCAAUGAGGCAGAGAUGGGAGGAUGGACAAACUGAAGUGCAGGGUUGGCUGAAGGGAACCUGGUGAUGAUCAGGGAAGGAGAUGAAGAAGCCAACAGCAUGGACCGCGGCAGACAGGGACUACCAAGCCACGAGAUCAAAUUGCAGCUAUUUCACGUCAGGUUUGCUAAAGGUAGGUUGCAUGAAGGAGGAUCUGGCUGAAGCAAGUACCUUUUGCUUUGCCAUAUGUGGAACAGAAACACUCAAACAGAGCGGUGGCAACUAAGCACUGAGAACAGUCUUUUUUAUAUCAAGUAUGGCAGGCACUUUUUGAUUGUCCCUUAAAAUACCACAAGAAAUGUUGAACAUUUACUACCCUUUCUAAAAAAGUACAAAAUUAUUUAAUUGCAUGCUGUUGUUUAGGUCUUGUUGCAUAAAGUAUCACUGCCAUGUUAUAAUGUCCCUGUUGAAUAUAGAAAUCAAGAUUUCUGUCUGAGUAUCCAGGUAAAUUUCCCAUUUGCCAAAAAAAAUGUUGUUCCUAAGAACAUAACCACAAUUCAAAACAAGAUGUCUAAAUAAACUUUGCACAUAACAAUGUUUAAUUUUUUUUUUUUGCUAAUAUAUCCUCUUGAGACAGAUAGAUUGAAAAAGCACAGCUAAGAAGUUGGGCUUACACAUCAGCAAAAUGUUUCAGUCACCCUAGUUUAGUCAGAGAAAACUUUUUGGCCUACAGCAGAGCAUUGUGUUUCUCAGUAGGACCAGAGCUAACAUUGAAUGUGAUGAGACAGCUUGCUCUAAGGUGAAUUGGGGCCAAAUUCUUUGGGCUGAGCUUGGACAGGGCUUCUAGCGUUAGGUUAGGCUGGGCUGGAGGCUGCAGGUAUGCUUGCAAGUUUUGUCACAUCAAGUGAAAGUGCUCAAAUCCUGGGAACAGAAACGUUUCCCAUUGAAAUUGCACCUAUUUGUGAUAAAUAGCUUAGUCACACUGUCCAUUAAGCAACUGUCAAACUUCAUAUGUCUGUCAAAGUCAUAUUCUUUGCUCCUGUAUUUUGGUACCACACCAAAAGUUAUCUGAACUAAUUUGAGUUUCAAGACAAUUCCUCUUUGCCUUUCACACCAUUUGAAGCUGAAGCUUUAAAGUCAUGUCUUUCAUAGAUGCCCCCAGAGAUUUCAUGAGUAAAGCAAGACACCCUUAUACAGUGCUAGGGUAAAAUUUAUCCUCUUCAAUAUAUCUGAGAUAUUCUUUUGAAUUUUAUUACACUGGAAAUUAUGCAGGGAAAGCAGGUGAAACUGAAUUAGAGAUUUUUUGCAGAUAAGACCUGAACAGUGUUAUAUUUUGUUACCUGUCAUUAGCUGCACUGACUUUUACUAAUUAAGUCUAAAGUUUGGUGCCCUCUCAGAUUUAAAAAGGUAUAUAUUUGGUUUAACCUGGGCAUAGGAGCCGUGAGUAAAUCUGCAUCUCAGGAGCAGGGAAAGCUUUUGUUUUCUCUCUCCAUUUGACAGCCAGAGGAACCUCAGCUGCUGACCCUGCAGAGGUGUUUCCAGUCAUUGUCUCUCUGACUCCACCUCAGCAGUCUGCAGGUGGGGUAGCAGGCAGGAGGGUGAUGUGUUUGUGUAUGUGCUGCUAUUCUGUCUAUUCAAAGGAACAACAGAAACACAAAACACUGUAGCUCUGCACUUUCACCUUCCCAAGCCAAAAAAUGCUGUUUUCUUGCACAUAAAUAUUAUUUGUGGCUCCACUUCACCCUGCUAUUUAUCCCUGCCACAGAUAAGAGGGGGACUGCACCAUUCUGCAGGCUGUGAAGCCGGGGCAAAGGUUUGCCUGACACAGGCAGCAGAGACAGGAUUGGCACCAGAUACAGCCCUGCUCCGCUCACUCCACCACCCCUGCUCUGCUUUGUUGUGUGCUACAGCUAAAUUCUUACCCCUAUGACUGAAAAAAAGGCACAAGCAAUGCCCCAGAGACCAGCUCUGAAUCAAUAUAGGCUUUAAUAAAAGAGCUUAUGUGGUUUCCUUUUUUUUUUUUAAUUUUAAUUCUAAAUUUUUGAAACUUCAAAAUAUACAAACAAUAAUCAAAAGCAGGAAUGGCCGUGUCAUUAUGUUACCUCAGGAGCAAAAAGCACCAUAACUCUGGUGCUUCAAGUUUGUGAGAAGCUGAAGUAAACACCAGACAACAAAUAUGACAUUAACCUCUGACAUUAAUAGGAAUACAAUGCAUUUGAGUGUGUGCAAGAUGUCCAAAAGAUUUACAUGUGUACCUACAUAUAAUUUCUUACAUUUGUGGCCUCUAAAGUGGAUUUGGAAAGGAUAUUUUUAAAAGUAGUUUCACCACCACCACCAUUUACAGAAUGAAGCAUUGCAACAUUUUCCUAUAGCUUACAAAUCACUGUGCAUUGGGAAUUCCAGUUUCUGGCAUUUGUUAGGAGCAUGUU